UAAUUGAUGUGAUAUCGACUAUGUCGAAUAAAAUUCUAGGUAGAGUUAUGAUAAUGACAUUGUCUGCCUAUGUGUCUUGACCAAAUUACGUGCCAGCAGUCGCGGUAAUACGUAGAAGACUAGUGUUAUUCAUCUUUAAUAGGUUUAAAGGGUACCUAGACGGUAUAUCAAGCCUGCAAUACGGGACUAAUGUACUAGAGUUACUUACGAGGGGGUAUUAAAGUACUGCUGGUGUAGAGAUGAAAUUCUGUCAUACCUCAUUUCGUAAGAAAUACUACGGCACAGGUAUAGGCGAAAGCAUCCCCUUAUGUGAUAACUGACGUUGAAGGACGAAGGCUUUGUGUAGCGAACAGGAUUAGAUACCCCAAUAGUCAAAGCAGAAAAUGAUGAAUGUCAUAGAUUAGACAUAUAGUUUAUUCUAUAAAUGAAAGUGUAAGCAUUCCACCUCAAGAGUAAUUUGGCAACAUUGGAACUGAAAUCAUUAGACCGUUUCUGAAACCAGUAGUGAAGUAUGUUGUUUAAUUUGAUAAUCCGCAAAAAACCUUACCACAAUUUGAAUAUUUAGAUUUUAAUUUUCUUUUUUUUUUUUUUUCGCUGUUUUGUUUAGAUUUUCUC
RNAcentral lists this ribosomal RNA (615 nucleotides) under Lecanora fuscobrunnea. Its description in RNAcentral is "partial small subunit ribosomal RNA". It matches the Rfam family "Bacterial small subunit ribosomal RNA", at positions 417 to 1020 of the family's 1533-position model. The record is from RNAcentral. Lineage: Eukaryota; Fungi; Ascomycota; Lecanoromycetes; Lecanorales; Lecanoraceae.